RNAcentral lists this long non-coding RNA (519 nucleotides) under Equus asinus (donkey). RNAcentral's name for it is "lncRNA (ENSEASG00005037568.1)". The record is from RNAcentral. Lineage: Eukaryota; Metazoa; Chordata; Mammalia; Perissodactyla; Equidae.
GGGGCGAUGAGGCCAGCCUGGGAGUGGUGGUGGAGAGCCCCCCCUGAGCAGGACAGCAGCACAGAGGGCAGGAAGCCAAGCCAAGAGGCUGGGAGGGAUGAUCCCUGCUGAUGGCGUCGAGCACCCAGGCUGACAGCUGGAUGAGAAUGGAGACCCCUGCCUGCUUCUCCUGCUGCACUGUGCCCGGUGUCCAGAGCCGGCCCACCAGCCACAGGGCCUCAGUGAUGUGCACUGGGCCAGUGAACACUGCAGACCACACAGGAGCAUACUUCCAGGAGUGCUAAGCGCCGUCAGUUCCUUCACUGUCCAUGGAGCCCAGCUCUGUGCCCGGCCCUGACUUACACUGUAGGCAUGACAGCCGUGAAGGAGACAAACUCUGCCGCCCCCUGGAGCCGACGUCACAGAGGGGCAAACAGUGAGCAGAGCACAGCAGCUGGGCCGUGCUCUUCCAGUGGGAUCUAUGCCUGAUUCACCUCGGGUAGCGCGAUGGAGUCUGGCCAGGUGCCCGGCAUGUGGGCU